RNAcentral lists this ribosomal RNA (468 nucleotides) under uncultured bacterium. RNAcentral's name for it is "partial 16S ribosomal RNA". It matches the Rfam family "Bacterial small subunit ribosomal RNA", at positions 28 to 507 of the family's 1533-position model. The record is from RNAcentral.
GACGAACGCUGGCGGCGUGCUUAACACAUGCCAGUCGAACGGAAAGGCCCUGCUUUUGUGGGGUGCUCGAGUGGCGAACGGGUGAGUAACACGUGAGUAACCUGCCCUUGACUUUGGGAUAACUUCAGGAAACUGGGGCUAAUACCGGAUAGGAGCUCCUGCUGCAUGGUGGGGGUUGGAAAGUUUCGGCGGUUGGGGAUGGACUCGCGGCUUAUCAGCUUGUUGGUGGGGUAGUGGCUUACCAAGGCUUUGACGGGUAGCUGGCCUGAGAGGGUGACCGGCCACAUUGGGACUGAGGUACGGCCCAGACGCCUACGGGAGGCAGCAGGGGGGAAUAUUGCACAAUGGGCGGAAGCCUGAUGCAGCAACGCCGCGUGCGGGAUGACGGCCUUCGGGUUGGAAACCGCUUUCGCCUGUGACGAAGCGUGAGUGACGGUAAUGGGUAAAGAAGCACCGGCUAACUACGUG